GACGAACCGUGCGAACGUUGUUCGGAAUCACUGGGCUUAAAGGGCGCGUAGGCGGCUUGCCAAGUCGGGGGUGAAAUCCGGCAGCUUAACUGUCGAAGUGCCUUCGAUACUGGCAAGCUCGAGGGAGGUAGGGGUCUGUGGAACUGCUGGUGGAGCGGUGAAAUGCGUUGAUAUCAGCAGGAACGCCGGUGGCGAAAGCGACGGACUGGACCUCUUCUGACGCUGAGGCGCGAAAGCUAGGGGAGCAAACGGG
Molecule: ribosomal RNA, 253 nt
Filed under: uncultured bacterium
Lineage: Bacteria
Also listed under: 1 other name
Description: partial 16S ribosomal RNA
Rfam family: Bacterial small subunit ribosomal RNA
Source: RNAcentral